RNAcentral lists this ribosomal RNA (497 nucleotides) under uncultured bacterium. Its description in RNAcentral is "partial 16S ribosomal RNA". It matches the Rfam family "Bacterial small subunit ribosomal RNA", at positions 28 to 507 of the family's 1533-position model. The record is from RNAcentral.
GAUGAACGCUGGCGGCGUGCCUAAUACAUGCAAGUCGAGCGAACAGACGAGGAGCUUUCUCCUCUGACGUUAGCGGCGGACGGGUGAGUAACACGUGGAUAACCUACCUCUAAGACUGGGGUAACUUCGGGAAACCGGAGCCAAUACCGGCUAAUAUAUUCAACCGCAUGGUUCAAUAGUGAAAGACGGUUUUGCUGUCACUUAUAGAUGGAUCCGCGCCGCAUUAGCUAGUUGGUAAGGUAACGGCUUACCAAGGCAACGAUGCGUAGCCGACCUGAGAGGGUGAUCGGCCACACUGGAACUGAGACACGGUCCAGACUCCUACGGGAGGCAGCAGUAGGGAAUCUUCCGCAAUGGGCGAAAGCCUGACGGAGCAACGCCGCGUGAGUGAUGAAGGUCUUCGGAUCGUAAAACUCUGUUAUUAGGGAAGAACAAAUGUGUAAGUAACUAUGCACGUCUUGACGGUACCUAAUCAGAAAGCCACGGCUAACUACGUG